Molecule: long non-coding RNA, 2649 nt
Filed under: Linum usitatissimum (flax)
Lineage: Eukaryota; Viridiplantae; Streptophyta; Magnoliopsida; Malpighiales; Linaceae
Description: long non-coding RNA (LUSI_LNC006462)
Source: RNAcentral
UAGUAAUCUGAAAGCCAUUCUAUUACCAUUCCGUCCAAGUUGGGAAGUAAAGAAAAUAAUUUCUACGUCAGCUGUUUAAGCAUACUUUAUUACAAUUUUGCCUCAUUCACAUGACACAAGAAGUUUGUUCUGUUUGGCAAGGUAAACAUCUUCUUUCAAUCUUGAGGCUACGCACGUCCUUAUCCACAUUAGUUCUCAACACUGUUUAUGAUAGUAACCUUUUGACUCAAAUAAUAUAGAGGAAAAAUAUGUUGUAAAUGCAAUAAUAGACAGACCUCAGGAACAGAAGAUCCAGGGAACGCAUGAAAAGAAGCUUUUGGAUCAGCAGCAGCAUAACAAAAUUCCAGUGUCUUCCAAUAGUCCUCAACAGCUUCUCUACUUGACAGAACAAAAUCAUGCCGGUAUCUUGGGCGAAGAUCAAUAGAUUUUGAAACUAUUGCUGGUGGUUCUUCUAUGUAAGGUUUAAACUCCAUUGCAUCUGUGAACAAUGCAUGUGGAAGCAUGACUCCGUCUUCAGAAUUCUCAACAGGUAUCAGUCGAAUGAGCUGCAUCAGAAAACAAAUCAUAAGGAAUGACAGAAAGUGCAAAAAAAUGCAUCAAUCAGCUUCUGCAUAACCUGAAGAUAGCCUCAGUGUUACAGAAGUGAAUUUUCCUAGAAGCCUCUUCCCACCUUAUUUUUAUUAGGUUGAAGCGAUGACAUUGACCUAUCAAAUUUGUCACACCCUCGUCUGCCCACCAUAAAGCACAUUAAUAGGAGAUUAAAACCUGAUUUUCACCUUGCUUAUUACUUAGGUUCCGAUGCAUAUUUUUGGUGCUGACAUUUUUCAUCUCUCUGUACACUGAUUUUCAAUUUAUAUACAUCUUGAGCUCUUUCUUUUUUGGUCCAGUUUCAUGUCCUGAUACUUCUAUAUAUUCAAAUAAUUAUAUUUGAUUCAGAAAUAACAUUCAAACGAAGGAAGCGGAAGAGACUGUCUUACAGAAUCCAUUGGAGGAAGUUUUGGGUAUGUAUACAAUUAUACAACAAACACCAAGUUUAAGCAUUGACUUUUUUCCUCGUCUAGCUUUGAAAUAAUUCCAGGUCUCAAACAGUCAGAACCAUCAAGUAUAGUCAAACCAAAUGGAUGUCCACUAAUAAACAACCCAAUAUAAAUAUAAAUCAAGAUAACAAGAAGAAAGCCCAAACAAAAACGUAGAAAAUCUGGCUUGUAAGUAGGAAUUAACGAAUAUUAUAAAAUAUAAACACAAAACUGGAAAAAAAACAGCUACACUGCUUAUCAUCAGUGGUGUCCAAUGGCAUAAAAGAUAUCUUCCUUCCCCAGUGAAAAUAUGUGCUUUAGAGCCUCAAGGAAACAGGGAUGCUGGAUUGCAAACCCAUGAGCACUCCUAUGGAACCGAACAAACGGCUAAGCCAUAACAAGGAAACUGCUGUAGUUGACAAAGGAAGUUACUAACGAUUGAUUGGUAAACUCAUAUAUCUAGUUCACACUCGUCCUGACAAAUCCUACUCAGUGGGAAUUGUAGUUCAAAAUAUGCAUGACCCAACGAAGGAACUCAUGGAGAUGGUAAACAGCAUUCUCAGAUAUUUAAAUUUUUCUCCUGGAAAAGGUUUAUUAUUUCAAAAGACCAAACAACAAGGAACAAACAUUUACACUGAUGCAAGCUGGGCAAGCGAGAUCAUUGACAGAAGAUCCACCACGGGAUACUGCACCUAUGUGUGGGGCAAUCUUGUAACAUAGAGAAGCCAGUUCAGCCAUUAGCCAAAUAAUAUACCACACUCAUUCUUCCUAUCUCUGCUAAUCUCUUUCUAAUCUACCACCAGUUCAUAAAAAGAUACCAAUUCAGAAGAUAACAUGCAGCUACCAAAUGCAGCAAGAUAUUGUGAAGAACCGUAUACCGGCAGAAUAUGAACAAAAACAUAUAAGCAUGAAAUAUCCACAGAAAGUAGUACCUUCAAUCUCCUCAAUAUGUCAAUGACAACUGACAGCCUACCAGUGGCUGGAGUAUCCAUCAAGCAUCUAUAUUCUUCUGCGGGGAGAUCGCAAAGACGCAAACCCAACUUGCACUUCUCAACCAAGUUAUCAAUCUUUUGAGUAGAACCUGCCACUUGCAAAAAUAACUCCAGUGGAAUGGCCUUCACGGCUCCUUGUAGUGAAAACAGUUUGUAACCAGAUGAUAGAAUAUCAUCCCAUCCUUCUGGAUCACUCAAAAAAUCCCAUAAGAAAAUAUGCAAGAGUUUAGCACGAACCAUUUUUGCCAAGACAAACCCAUUGGUCCUCAUUGCUUCUGAUCUAGCAACUUGACCAUCUGAAUCUACAGAAGCCUGAGUUCUUUUUAGUUCUCAAUACUGUUUAUGAUAGUAACCUCUUGACUCAAAUAAUAUAGAGGAAAAAUAUGUUGUAAAUGCAAUAAUAGACAGACCUCAGGAACAGAAGAUCCAGGGAACGCAUGAAAAGAAGCUUUUGGAUCAGCAGCAGCAUAACAAAAUUCCAGUGUCUUCCAAUAGUCCUCAACAGCUUCUCUACUUGACAAAACAAAAUCAUGCCAGUAUCUUGGGCGAAGAUCAAUAGAUUUUGAAACUAUUGCUGGUGGUUCUUCUAUGUAAGGUUUAAACUCCAUUGCAUCUGUAAACAAUGCAUGUGGAAGCAUGAC